RNAcentral lists this long non-coding RNA (446 nucleotides) under Salmo salar (Atlantic salmon). Its description in RNAcentral is "lncRNA (ENSSSAG00000110179.1)". Lineage: Eukaryota; Metazoa; Chordata; Actinopteri; Salmoniformes; Salmonidae. The record is from RNAcentral.
GUGUCCGAAUGGUCCAAUGUGACUUGUCUGAAAUUGGUAACGCUGAUGUGCCAAUUCUGUCUGUAGCAUCUGAACCGUUUGGGCUAAAAACUAAUAUGACCCCACUGUGAAAACGGGAUACUCUCACGAACACAAUGUUGUCCUUUUCUCCUGUCACGGGACUCGUCUGAAGAUCCCGGGGAAAUCCUGGAGGGAGUUUUGGCGAUGGAUACGUCAUUUCGAACAAAUAGAUUAAGGCCUUUUGACAGAAACUUAAACAGGAAGCUCCUGCGCUUAGGUCUGUUCAACGCUGGUCCGACCAAUCGGAUUCCACGCUUCAAGAUUGCUUCGAUCACAUGGACUGGGAUAUGUUCCGCAUUGCGGCGAACAACAACAUUGACGAAUACGCUGAGUCGGUGAGCGGGUUUAUUAGCAAGUGCAUCGGCGAUGUCGUACCCACAGCGUCU